UUUUCGCCUGUUAUUUAUAGGAUGAGAACCUCCGAAGGAGGUUUGAGCCGAGCGCAGCGAGACCACGUUGCUUUAGCAACGGCCCGCAGGGCAAGCAUCAAAGAUGCGCGUAAUCCUCUCUCGCCGACCA
Molecule: small RNA, 130 nt
Filed under: Serratia liquefaciens
Lineage: Bacteria; Pseudomonadati; Pseudomonadota; Gammaproteobacteria; Enterobacterales; Yersiniaceae
Also listed under: 2 other names
Description: RtT sRNA
Rfam family: RtT RNA
About the family: This family represents a bacterial cis-regulatory element known as RtT RNA. The exact function of RtT is unknown although it is thought that it may be involved in changing the cellular response in relation to amino acid starvation.
Source: RNAcentral